RNAcentral lists this ribosomal RNA (232 nucleotides) under uncultured bacterium. Its description in RNAcentral is "partial 16S ribosomal RNA". It matches the Rfam family "Archaeal small subunit ribosomal RNA", at positions 474 to 704 of the family's 1478-position model. The record is from RNAcentral.
UACCAGCACCCCGAGUGGUCGGGACGUUUUUAUUGGGCCUAAAGCAUCCGUAGCCGGUUCUACAAGUCUUCCGUUAAAUCCAGCUGCUUAACAGAUGGGCUGCGGAAGAUACUAUGGAGCUAGGAGGCGGGAGAGGCAAGCGGUACUCGAUGGGUAGGGGUAAAAUCCGUUGAUCCAUUGAAGACCACCAGUGGCGAAGGCGGCUUGCCAGAACGCGCUCGACGGUGAGGGA